CAUGCCCCUUAUACGCUGGGCUACACACGUGCUACAAUGGGUAGAACAGAGAGUUGCAAAGCCGUGAGGUGGAGCUAAUCUCAGAAAACUAUUCUUAGUUCGGAUUGUACUCUGCAACUCGAGUACAUGAAGUUGGAAUCGCUAGUAAUCGCGAAUCAGCAAUGUCGCGGUGAAUACGUUCUCGGGUCUUGUACACACCGCCCGUCACACCACGAGAGCUGGUUGCACCUGAAGUAGCAGGCCUAACCGUAAGGAGGGAUGCUCCGAGGGUGUGAUUAGCGAUUGGGGUGAAGUCGUAACAAGGUAUCCGUACGGGAACGUGCGGAUGGAUCACCUCCUUUCUAAGGAGUAUAAGUCUUUCUCUAUUCUAUUGGUAAUGUUCUUUACAUUACUUCUGAACAUUGGAAACUAUAUAGUAGAACAAACAAGAAAACAAAAAUUAACUCUAACAAUUUCUUAGAGUUAGCUGUCAAAAAAAUAGGUUAAAAUAAUUAAGGGCACACAAAGGAUGCCUAGGUAGUAAGAGCCGAUGAAGGACGUGGUAAGCUGCGAUAAGCCU
RNAcentral lists this small RNA (559 nucleotides) under uncultured Fusobacterium sp. Its description in RNAcentral is "bacterial SSU rRNA". The stretch from base 1 to 341 matches the Rfam family "Bacterial small subunit ribosomal RNA", at positions 1194 to 1533 of the family's 1533-position model. Lineage: Bacteria; Fusobacteriati; Fusobacteriota; Fusobacteriia; Fusobacteriales; Fusobacteriaceae. The record is from RNAcentral.